AUGGAGAAGGCCGAAAAUCCAUAAUCGAGUAGGCA
This is a regulatory RNA element of Sphingobacterium sp. ML3W, 35 nucleotides long. It matches the Rfam family "DUF805b RNA". Rfam says of the family: Bacteroidetes, Chlorobi (1 example), Proteobacteria. Lineage (Flavobacteria) Lineage: Bacteria; Pseudomonadati; Bacteroidota; Sphingobacteriia; Sphingobacteriales; Sphingobacteriaceae. The record is from Rfam.